This 1575-nucleotide ribosomal RNA is filed under the name Pantoea sp. EKM103V. RNAcentral describes it as "partial 23S ribosomal RNA". It matches the Rfam family "Bacterial large subunit ribosomal RNA", at positions 1263 to 2819 of the family's 2925-position model. Lineage: Bacteria; Pseudomonadati; Pseudomonadota; Gammaproteobacteria; Enterobacterales; Erwiniaceae. The record is from RNAcentral.
GUGAGGCAUGCUGGAGGUAUCAGAAGUGCGAAUGCUGACAUAAGUAACGAUAAAGCGGGUGAAAAGCCCGCUCGCCGGAAGACCAAGGGUUCCUGUUCAACGUUAAUCGGAGCAGGGUGAGUCGACCCCUAAGGCGAGGCCGAAAGGCGUAGUCGAUGGGAAACAGGUUAAUAUUCCUGUACUCGGUGUUACUGCGAAGGGGGGACGGAGAAGGCUAUAUCAGCCGGGCGACGGUUGUCCCGGUUUAAGCGUGUAGGCGGAGGGUCCAGGUAAAUCCGGACUCUUUUAACGCUGAGGCGUGAUGACGAGGCACUACGGUGCUGAAGUGAUAAAUGCCCUGCUUCCAGGAAAAGCCUCUAAGCAUCAGGUAACACAGAAUCGUACCCCAAACCGACACAGGUGGUCAGGUAGAGAAUACCAAGGCGCUUGAGAGAACUCGGGUGAAGGAACUAGGCAAAAUGGUGCCGUAACUUCGGGAGAAGGCACGCUGGCGCGUAGGUGAAGGGACUUGCUCCCGGAGCUGAAGCCAGUCGAAGAUACCAGCUGGCUGCAACUGUUUAUUAAAAACACAGCACUGUGCAAACACGAAAGUGGACGUAUACGGUGUGACGCCUGCCCGGUGCCGGAAGGUUAAUUGAUGGGGUUAUCCGUAAGGAGAAGCUCUUGAUCGAAGCCCCGGUAAACGGCGGCCGUAACUAUAACGGUCCUAAGGUAGCGAAAUUCCUUGUCGGGUAAGUUCCGACCUGCACGAAUGGCGUAAUGAUGGCCAGGCUGUCUCCACCCGAGACUCAGUGAAAUUGAACUCGCUGUGAAGAUGCAGUGUACCCGCGGCAAGACGGAAAGACCCCGUGAACCUUUACUACAGCUUGACACUGAACAUUGAGCCUUGAUGUGUAGGAUAGGUGGGAGGCUUUGAAGCGCGGACGCCAGUCUGCGUGGAGCCAUCCUUGAAAUACCACCCUUUAAUGUUUGAUGUUCUAACGUGGCCCCGUGAUCCGGGGUGCGGACAGUGUCUGGUGGGUAGUUUGACUGGGGCGGUCUCCUCCCAAAGAGUAACGGAGGAGCACGAAGGUCAGCUAAUCACGGUCGGACAUCGUGAGGUUAGUGCAAUGGCAUAAGCUGGCUUGACUGCGAGAGUGACGGCUCGAGCAGGUGCGAAAGCAGGUCAUAGUGAUCCGGUGGUUCUGAAUGGAAGGGCCAUCGCUCAACGGAUAAAAGGUACUCCGGGGAUAACAGGCUGAUACCGCCCAAGAGUUCAUAUCGACGGCGGUGUUUGGCACCUCGAUGUCGGCUCAUCACAUCCUGGGGCUGAAGUAGGUCCCAAGGGUACGGCUGUUCGCCGUUUAAAGUGGUACGCGAGCUGGGUUUAGAACGUCGUGAGACAGUUCGGUCCCUAUCUGCCGUGGGCGCUGGAGAAUUGAGGGGGGUUGCUCCUAGUACGAGAGGACCGGAGUGAACGCACCACUGGUGUUCGGGUUGUCAUGCCAAUGGCACUGCCCGGUAGCUAAGUGCGGAAAAGAUAAGUGCUGAAAGCAUCUAAGCACGAAACUUGCCCCGAGAUGAGUUCUCCCUGAC